Molecule: ribosomal RNA, 245 nt
Filed under: uncultured bacterium
Lineage: Bacteria
Description: partial 16S ribosomal RNA
Rfam family: Bacterial small subunit ribosomal RNA
Source: RNAcentral
CCUCGAGCGUUAGGCGGAAUCACUGGGCUUAAAGCGUGUGUAGGUGGAUGCCUAAGUACCUUGUGAAAUCCCACGGCUUAACCGUGGAACUGCUGGGUAUACUGGGCGUCUUGAGCCACUCAGGGGCUACCGGAACAAACGGUGGAGCGGUGAAAUGCGUAGAUAUCGUUUGGAACGCCAAUGGUGAAAACAGGUAGCUGGGGGUGUGCUGACACUGAGACACGAAAGCCAGGGGAGCAAACGGG